Molecule: transfer RNA, 78 nt
Filed under: Sphaerodactylus townsendi
Lineage: Eukaryota; Metazoa; Chordata; Lepidosauria; Squamata; Sphaerodactylidae
Description: tRNA-Thr
Source: RNAcentral
GGAUGGGUUUUGGCUCAGUGGUAGAUCAUUUACUUGGUAUGUAGAAAGUCUCAAGUUCAAUUCUUAGUAUCUCGUUAA